Molecule: ribosomal RNA, 486 nt
Filed under: marine sediment bacterium ISA-6187
Lineage: Bacteria
Description: bacterial SSU rRNA
Rfam family: Bacterial small subunit ribosomal RNA
Source: RNAcentral
GGCGGCGUGCCUAAUACAUGCAAGUCGAGCGGAUUGAUGGGAGCUUGCUCCCUGAUAUCAGCGGCGGACGGGUGAGUAACACGUGGGUAACCUGCCUGUAAGACUGGGAUAACUCCGGGAAACCGGGGCUAAUACCGGAUAACUCAUUUCCUCGCAUGAGGAAAUGUUGAAAGGUGGCUUUUAGCUAUCACUUACAGAUGGACCCGCGGCGCAUUAGCUAGUUGGUGAGGUAACGGCUCACCAAGGCGACGAUGCGUAGCCGACCUGAGAGGGUGAUCGGCCACACUGGGACUGAGACACGGCCCAGACUCCUACGGGAGGCAGCAGUAGGGAAUCUUCCGCAAUGGACGAAAGUCUGACGGAGCAACGCCGCGUGAGUGAUGAAGGUUUUCGGAUCGUAAAGCUCUGUUGUUAGGGAAGAACAAGUGCCGUUCGAAUAGGGCGGCACCUUGACGGUACCUAACCAGAAAGCCACGGCUAACUACG